Molecule: RNase P RNA, 382 nt
Filed under: Leifsonia sp. AK011
Lineage: Bacteria; Bacillati; Actinomycetota; Actinomycetes; Micrococcales; Microbacteriaceae
Description: Bacterial RNase P class A
Rfam family: Bacterial RNase P class A
About the family: Ribonuclease P (RNase P) is a ubiquitous endoribonuclease, found in archaea, bacteria and eukarya as well as chloroplasts and mitochondria. Its best characterised activity is the generation of mature 5'-ends of tRNAs by cleaving the 5'-leader elements of precursor-tRNAs. Cellular RNase Ps are ribonucleoproteins.
Source: Rfam by way of RNAcentral
UGGGUCGGCAAGACGGUCGCGCUCAUGUUCCCCUCGGGGCGCAUGGUCGAGGAACGUCCGGGCUCCACAGGGCAGGGCGGUGGGUAACACCCACCCGGGGUAACCCGCGAGAAAGUGCAACAGAAAGUAGACCGCCGUUCGCAAGAACGGUAAGGGUGAAACGGUGGUGUAAGAGACCACCAGCGGCCGCGGUGACGCGGUCGGCUAGGUAAACCUCGUCCGGAGCAAGGUCAGACAGGAAGCGUUACGGGUGGCCCGCCCAGUUUCCGGGUAGACCGCUGGAGGCGUGCGGCAACGUACGUCGUAGAUAGAUGGCCGUCCAGCAUCCCCGUGCCUGUCACGGUGAUGUCAACAGAACCCGGCGUAUCAGCCGGCCCAUUCC